AUACGGAGGGUGCAAACGUUGUUCGGAAUUACUGGGCGUAAAGCGCGCGUAGGCGGCUUGUUAAGUCAGAUGUGAAAGUCCACAGCUCAACUGUGGAAGUGCAUUUGAAACUGGCAGGCUUGAGUACUGGAGGGGAUGGUGGAAUUCCCGGUGUAGAGGUGAAAUUCGUAGAUAUCGGGAGGAAUACCGGUGGCGAAGGCGACCAUCUGGCCAGAUACUGACGCUGAGGUGCGAAAGCGUGGGGAGCAAACAGGAUUAGAAACCCGAGUAGUCC
This 274-nucleotide ribosomal RNA is filed under the name uncultured bacterium. RNAcentral's name for it is "partial 16S ribosomal RNA". It matches the Rfam family "Bacterial small subunit ribosomal RNA", at positions 523 to 796 of the family's 1533-position model. The record is from RNAcentral.